UACAGAGGUCUCAAGCGUUGUUCGGAUUCAUUGGGCGUAAAGGGUGCGUAGGCGGCGCGGUAAGUCGGGUGUGAAAUCUCGGAGCCUAACUCCGAAACUGCAUUCGAUACUGCCGUGCUUGAGGACUGGAGAGGAGACUGGAAUUUACGGUGUAGCGGUGAAAUGCGCAGAUAUCAGAAGGAACACCAAUGGCGAAGGCAGCUCGCUGGGACGGUACUGACGCUGAGGCGCGAAAGCGUGGGGAGCAAACAGG
This 253-nucleotide ribosomal RNA is filed under the name uncultured bacterium. Its description in RNAcentral is "partial 16S ribosomal RNA". It matches the Rfam family "Bacterial small subunit ribosomal RNA", at positions 524 to 776 of the family's 1533-position model. The record is from RNAcentral.